GACCUGGAUAGUCUCGCUGUGCGUGAACGCUGUCAUGGAGGUGAACACGUUCAAGUCGGCAAUGGAGCAGGAUCGACGGUCGAGGAAAAGUCUUCUAGAUGGGAGGUGUGAGUCUACAUGCUUUAGUGAGUAGAUCUACUACUCACGCCCAAUGGCAUGCACGUCUUGGACAUCCUUCAUCUCAAGUAGUAAAGUCAAUUUUG
Molecule: long non-coding RNA, 203 nt
Organism: Cucurbita moschata (crookneck pumpkin)
Lineage: Eukaryota; Viridiplantae; Streptophyta; Magnoliopsida; Cucurbitales; Cucurbitaceae
Exons: 3
Source: RefSeq, a predicted model, not a curated record